AGGACGAACGCUGGCGGCGUGCUUAACACAUGCAAGUCGAGCGGAAGGGCCCUUCGGGGUACUCGAGCGGCGAACGGGUGAGUAACACGUGAGUAAUCUGCCCCUAGCUCUGGGAUAGCGUCCGGGAAACCGGGAUUAAUACCAGAUACGACCACUUUUAGACAUCUGCUGUGGUGGAAAGAAUUUCGGCUAGGGGAUGAGCUCGCGGCCUAUCAGCUUGUGGUGAGGUAACGGCUCACCAAGGCGACG
RNAcentral lists this ribosomal RNA (249 nucleotides) under uncultured bacterium. RNAcentral's name for it is "partial small subunit ribosomal RNA". It matches the Rfam family "Bacterial small subunit ribosomal RNA", at positions 26 to 278 of the family's 1533-position model. The record is from RNAcentral.